CUCUGUCUCUCACUCUGCCAAGAUUCAUCUUAAACACUUCUCUUUCAACUGCUGCUGUGUCCACAGUGUUUGCUCUACAACCAUCAUUUUACCCUCAAAACGUCACCAUCGUUGUUCUCUUUCCAACAGAGUGUCUUUGAAAGCUCAGAUAUGUAAAGUUUUUAAACUGUGUGGAUCCAAGUGGAGGGAUCACAUUUUAGUCAUUCAGUGAUUCAAAGAAUAUGAACUUUUAAUAUUCAUUCAGAUGUUUUCUGACUCUAAAUAGUCUUUUGUCAUUUCUUAUGUUUUUCUAAUUUACAUUUAAAACAUUUUCAGCUCUUUUCCAACUUCUUCUCUGUGGUUGUCAGCUUUUAGCAGUUCAGCUUUUUUGUUUUCAGGUGAAAAUUUCUGUAUUUUUCAUCUCAUUCAACAUUUUUAACUUAAAAUUCAGCAAUUAAUUCUUUUCAGUGCAUAUAUUCAGAUUCAAGCAUUCACA
Molecule: long non-coding RNA, 475 nt
Organism: Oreochromis aureus
Lineage: Eukaryota; Metazoa; Chordata; Actinopteri; Cichliformes; Cichlidae
Source: Ensembl